Molecule: non-coding RNA, 533 nt
Organism: Salmo salar (Atlantic salmon)
Lineage: Eukaryota; Metazoa; Chordata; Actinopteri; Salmoniformes; Salmonidae
Source: RefSeq, a predicted model, not a curated record
UCUCAGCAUCUCUUCUUCAAUCGCUCUCUCUGCCUCCUGGAACAUCUCAUUGGUGUAGUGAGUAGGCUGGUGGGAGGAGAUAUAGGAGGACGAGCUCAUUGCAAUGACUGGAAUAGAAUAAUUGGAACGGUAUCUAACACAUCAAACAUAUGGAAACCACGUUUGACUCCAUUCCAUUCAUACCAUUCCAGCCAUUACAAUGAGCCUGUCCUCUUAUAGCUCGUCCCACCAGCCUCCACUGGUGUAGCGACCCCCUCCAUUCAACAUGACCAUAGACUUUAGCCAUGCGUUAUUGUUGACCUCUGCCUCAACUCUGUCUAUUUCUACAGAUGUAGAGGACUGAAGAGGUUUUCGCCAGAUGCCAGCCUCGGUCGUUUGAUAGGGAGACCAUAAUUGGAAACAUGUAUGGAGCCAGCACAUAGAGACUUGCAAGAUGAUGUGAUGAAGACCAGGCGGACAGAGGGACUUGAUACUGAUGUCUCUGAAUUGAGAGAGACCUGGCACUCAGCAUAAUAUACUAGACAAAACUUUUA